This 500-nucleotide ribosomal RNA is filed under the name Exserohilum rostratum. RNAcentral describes it as "eukaryotic LSU rRNA". The stretch from base 126 to 279 matches the Rfam family "5.8S ribosomal RNA". The record is from RNAcentral. Lineage: Eukaryota; Fungi; Ascomycota; Dothideomycetes; Pleosporales; Pleosporaceae.
UUUUUCACCCAUGUCUUUUGCGCACUUUUUGUUUCCUGGGCGAGUUCGCUCGCCACCAGGACCCAACCAUAAACCUUUUUUUAUGCAGUUGCAAUCAGCGUCAGUAUAAUAAUUCAAUUUAUUAAAACUUUCAACAACGGAUCUCUUGGUUCUGGCAUCGAUGAAGAACGCAGCGAAAUGCGAUACGUAGUGUGAAUUGCAGAAUUCAGUGAAUCAUCGAAUCUUUGAACGCACAUUGCGCCCUUUGGUAUUCCAAAGGGCAUGCCUGUUCGAGCGUCAUUUGUACCCUCAAGCUUUGCUUGGUGUUGGGCGUCUUUUUGUCUCUCCCCUUGUUGGGGGAGACUCGCCUUAAAACGAUUGGCAGCCGACCUACUGGUUUUCGGAGCGCAGCACAAAUUUGCGCCUUCCAAUCCACGGGGCGGCAUCCAGCAAGCCUUUGUUUUCUAUAACAAAUCCACAUUUUGACCUCGGAUCAGGUAGGGAUACCCGCUGAACUUAAG